This is a long non-coding RNA of Juglans microcarpa x Juglans regia, 1415 nucleotides long. RefSeq lists it as uncharacterized. The record is from RefSeq and is a predicted model, not a curated record. Lineage: Eukaryota; Viridiplantae; Streptophyta; Magnoliopsida; Fagales; Juglandaceae. The transcript has 2 exons.
AGAGAGAGAGAGUAUAUGUACACACGACAUACAUACCCUGCAAAGGAAGCUAGCGCCAUAAUAUACAUGUGGGCCGGAAAUUCCGCUUUCCAGAGUUGAACCUUAAGGAUUCUUGGGUCGUCAUUGAGGGAACAAAAGGGCAAUCUUGUCACAAAGCUGCAACCAUAAAAGCAUGUAUCAUGCAUAUAAUGAAAAAUCCGGAAACGCCUACACAUAUCCCCACAGGUUGUACAACACCAUGCACGCUCAUGCACCCGCUACUUUCUACAAAAAGCCAAUCCUAAUUCAAAAGGCACUACACAAAUUCCGUUCUUCAUUCUUUGACUCAGACUUCUGCUAUCAUCUCUCUCUCUCUGUGGUCUCUCUCUAGGGUUUCUCAGGGGCCUUGUUGCAGAGCCAAUUUGGCAUUCUGUCCACCUCCAUGAAAUGUUCUUGUUAGUUAACUAGUUUGAUUUUCAGCUUUUGGAGGCGGCCAGCAUGUCAAAUUGGUUCUGUAAAUUUUUCUCUGAGAAACCAUAUAAGAGCCAAAAGCUCUUGAUGAAAAUCUUUCUGCUUAAUAGCUCUACGAUCCUUAAUAUCUGUCGUAUUUUCUGAUCUGGCCAGAAAAAGUCUUUUUCACUCGUGUUAUUUUUACACUAAUUUGUUGUUUGUUUACUUUAUAUGUGUGCAUGCAUUUAUAGUUGAGACUAAGAUGAGCUCUUUCAUGGUCUUGGGGUAAGGAACAUUAGAAAUUUAGGUGGUUAAUUUUACAUAUAAGAUACAGUCACAAGUGUUAUCUACGCAUGCAGGUAAUUAUUAAAGCAGCAAAUUUUUUCCAAGCUCCAAUAUUGGCUUUAAUUACUUGUUCUGUCGGUUGACCUCUCUUAGUGUAUUCUGAUCUUAAUUUGUUCUUUCGGCCACUUUGCAGGUUACAGGUUAAUGCAUACUCAUCAUUCUUUAGCUGCGGCAGGACUAGUAAAUUUGUAUCCAUUGAAUUAGGCCAAAUCACUUGUUGGAUAGGUCAUUUUUAAUGGCCGCUAUGCUCCAAAUACGAUCGACCAUCAACCAUAGGGUGGUUUCAUAUUGGGCUUAUCUCAAGAGAUGAACUACCUAUGAUCAACUUGAGCAAUUUCAUGUAAUAACUACAGCUUGAGCAGACAUUGUUUCCUAAUGAGAGUUCAAGAAAGAUGGAUGCCAUAAUGCGUCAAACUAUUUUUUGGGAAGACUAGAGGGAGUUUUCUUCAAUUCUCAGAAGGGAAGAAGUGAAUUUUGGCAGCACUAGUCUGGAUUUUUGUGAACUUUGACCCGUAACUUGUUAAAUAUAUUAAUGUUUUGUCAUUGCAUUGAUGUAAGUCAACCGUGUACAUGAAAUUGAAAAAGCAGCCAAACAUGUUGCAUGUAAAGUUUCUCUAUCCGUUAUGUCUUUUGAGCCUUUU